RNAcentral lists this ribosomal RNA (565 nucleotides) under uncultured Gammaproteobacteria bacterium. RNAcentral's name for it is "bacterial SSU rRNA". It matches the Rfam family "Bacterial small subunit ribosomal RNA", at positions 360 to 916 of the family's 1533-position model. The record is from RNAcentral. Lineage: Bacteria; Pseudomonadati; Pseudomonadota; Gammaproteobacteria.
AAUAUUGGACAAUGGGCGAAAGCCUGAUCCAGCAAUACCGCGUGUGUGGAGAAGGCCUGCGGGUUGUAAAGCACUUUCAAUUGUGAAGAAAAGCUUGGGGAUAAUACCCUCGAGUCUUGACGUUAACUUUAGGAGAAGCACCGGCUAACUCUGUGCCAGCAGCCGCGGUAAUACAGAGGGUGCGAGCGUUAUUCGGAAUUACUGGGCGUAAAGCGUGCGUAGGCGGUUUAGUAAGUCAGAUGUGAAAGCCCUGGGCUUAACCUGGGAACUGCAUUUGAAACUGCUGAACUAGAGUGUGGUAGAGGGAAGUGGAAUUCCGGGUGUAGCGGUGAAAUGCGUAGAUAUCCGGAGGAACACCAGUGGCGAAGGCGACUUCCUGGACCAACACUGACGCUGAGGUACGAAAGCGUGGGUAGCAAACAGGAUUAGAUACCCUGGUAGUCCACGCCGUAAACGAUGUCAACUAGUUGUUGGGAGCAUUUUGGCUUUUAGUAACGUAGCUAACGCGAUAAGUUGACCGCCUGGGGAGUACGGCCGCAAGGUUAAAACUCAAAUGAAUUGACGG